Molecule: long non-coding RNA, 21961 nt
Filed under: Brachypodium distachyon (stiff brome)
Lineage: Eukaryota; Viridiplantae; Streptophyta; Magnoliopsida; Poales; Poaceae
Description: long non-coding RNA (BDIS_LNC001755)
Source: RNAcentral
UGGUGGAAGCAGACAUUGCAGAGGAGAUCCAUACAACCGAGGCUAGGAGGUAUAUUAACGUUGCACUGAUGUGCGUCCAAGAGAAUGUAGAUGAUCGACCUACAAUGUCAGAUGUUGUUGGAAUGUUAAACAGUGAGAGUGUUGUUCUUCCGGAGCCUAAUCAUCCAGCAUACUUCAACCUAAGAGUAUCUAAGGUACACGAAUCGGCUACUGUUGUUGAUCCAUGUAGUAUCAAUGAUGUUACAAUCACUGUGGAGCCAGAUGGCAGAUGAUUGUGUUAGCGGAAUACCAUACGAUUCAACAAAAACAUCCUAGAGACUUUCACAAUGAUGAUCCGAGUGUAACUUGCUCCAUUAGAGUCCUUGCGAUAUUAACGUCAUCGUCGUGCGUACGUUUUUUUUCUCUCUACCUCUUCCCUUCACAAGUUCCUCUGAUGGAUAAAGAACAGCCAGUCGGUGUGUGUGAUCCUUCUGAUCGAUGUGUGUGGAGAAUGGACAACCAGUGCUCCUUUUAUACGCUACCUACAGGUGCAUCCCUUGGGCCGGCAGACGCGACGUUCCAGCGAACAGGCGCGUCACUCCACUGCCGUCCAGUUUCUUCGGUCGCAUGCCAAUUACUCACGCGCUAAAUUAAUGUGUUUGCCAAUCACGCACGGGUGCAUGCAAACGAUGCGUCGUUUCAGGAGAAGGCGUCUAGUACUAGCAGUAAUCGACCCCAUGCAUGCGCAUCUGUUCAAUGCUUUUAGCAAACCAGCAAGUGCUACUUCCUUCACGCACAUAUAGCAUAUAUUUAAUUGAAGAUUAAUAGAUGGAGAAAAGAGGGAAUUAAAACCCAUAAUUCUAAUAAGUUAUAUUAGCAUCCAUCACACUAAUCUUUUCUUAUUAGAAUCAGUCUAUAAUUUACAUUGGCCACGUAAAUAUUCUUUCUGGGGGAAAGCAGAUUUCGAGAACGCCCGCGCGCCAAGAGGCCCUGGUUCGCGAGAUCCAGAAUGCCGAGGCGCGCCUUUCCGCACUCGGCGUCACGGACUCCAAGGUGGCGGAACUGGAGAACCAGGUGCGCGACGCAGGAGCCCUGCUCGCCGCAGCCGCCGGAGAGCGUGACGAACUCCUGAAGGAGAACCAGCGGAUGCGCGAGCUCGCAGAGCUAGCCACCGCGCGGGAAAUCAAAACGUCCUCCGCAUCGGCCGUACGGGAGACAGUGCUCCGCGAGGAGCUCAAAGCUGCAUCCUGCAGGGUCAGCGGCCUCGAGUCCGCGCUGACAGAGAUGCGGCUUACCUCCGAGGCCCACCACCUCUCGCGGGUCCAGGACCUCGAAGCGCUGCAUUCCUCCGUAUCCACGGAGAAGGACAAGGCGCUCGCCGUGACUGGAGAGCUUGCCGAAGCCCGCCGCCUCGACUGCUGAGCCUUCGGGCUGUAACAGGGCAGGCUGCAGAGGCCCUCCGCGAGCUAGGAUUCCGGUUUGAGCCCGCGGAGGCCCCAGACGCCUCGGCCGCGAUCGCAGAACUCGCCCGCCUCGUCCGAUAACUUCCGGCGAUACGGGCCGCCAUGGUCGAGCAGAUCCGCGCGGAGAGCAAAGAAGUCAUUGAAGUCACCGCCCAGCUCAUCUGCUCGCGAGUACACUUCCUCUGCCCCCAGCUUGACUUCACCGGAGUUCUUGAAGACUGGGUGGACGCCGACGACGCAUGCAGCCUCCCAGGCCACGAGGCCGCAGUCGCUUCCAUCGUACAAGCGAUCGGUGCGAUGAUGGUCCGAGCGGAAGUCGACGCGCCCGUCAACGGCGCCCAACCAAUCCCCGAGACCACCCCUACGGCGGAAGACGCGUCCGUCCCCGCGGGCCAUUAGUUCCUACAAGAGCUCUCAUCAUCGCUCCAUUUUGUUGUAUCCCUUCUGACGAGCUUAUUGUAGUCUUUUUAUUCCUGCAUUUUAAAUUUCAAAUCCCAAACUUUCGACAGACCCAAGUAAAGUGCGUAUGUAUGCAUGCUCAUGCGUGUAUGUAAGUAUGUGCCGUACCAUCUCUAGCCCCUCGGCGGUGGUGAGUCCCUUAUGAACUUUGCGCGUGUGCACGGUACUGGUUGUAAAGUCACAUAGGGCUCACCGCCGCCCAUUUGCUUUUGACAAGAAUCGAUAGGGAACCAAAUAAACUUGCAACUCCAAGCAAACAUUUAAAUAUCCAGAAAUUCAACUUGUUCAAUCCAAAUAAAGUUCUAGCGAAUUACGCUGGGGAGCGACCCUGGCUACGCUAGUGUUGGGUGCGUAUCUUCGAUCUGGAACACGGCUUUUGGGAAUAGGGCCUCGAGGCUCACGGAUAGAACCUACGGAGAUGGUACUUUUGGAGGUGCUCGAUAUUCCACGAAUUUUUCACCGGCAGUCCAUCCUUCGAUUCCAGUAUGCAGCCCCCUGCCUUGGGACAUGCAGUACGUCAAGCUUUCUUCGCAGAACAAGAUCCCCCGGCUGCAAUUAUCACUUCGGGCUGAGCUUGUUCAUGCCCCUAGCGUCAAGCUUUCUUCGCAGAACAAGAUCCCCCGGCUGUGCGCAAUUCUCUCGGCCGCACCCGGCUGUCAAGGUACCGCCGGAGCGCCUGUUGGUAUCGCGCCACGCGCUUCAACGCUUUGUUGCGUACUUCUUCCAAGAAAUUCAUGUCGUCGAUUCUUCUUUCAAUUUUUUGGUCUUCUUGGUAAGCUCGAACUCAGGGCGACCCGAAAUUGAGCUCCGUUGGUAGCACCGCCUCGGCCCCGUACACCAGGGCGAACGGAGUUUCGCCCGUAACCCGGCUCGGGGUUGUCCUGAGGGACCACGGCACCGUGGGCAACUCGUCCACCCACCGCCUGCCGUGGACCCCCAACUUGUCGAAUGUCUUCAUCUUGAGGCCCCGUAGCACCUCUGCGUUGGCCCACUCCACCUGUCCAUUGCUCUCCGGAUGAGCUACAGAAGCGAAGCGUAUCUUCGUCCACAUCUCUGUGCAGUACGCGUUCAACACCGUGCUUGUGAACUGCAUGCCAUUUAUCGGUUAUGAUGCUGUUAGGCACCCCAAACCGACACACAAUUCCUUUGAAAAACUUGAUGGCCGCCUGCACGGUCACCUUCCGCACAGGUUCCACCUCCACCCACUUGGUGAAUUUGUCGACUGCCACCAGCAGGUACUCGUACCCGCCGACGGCCUGCGGCAAUUUGUCGACAAUAUCCAGCCCCCAGACCGCAAAGGGCUAGGCGUCGCAAGUUCGCAUCAGUUGCUCGGCGUCCGUCUUGGCCGUCGGCCAAUAGAAACCUUGCCGAAACGCUUUCCCGGCAGGAGCCCUCGAGGCUAAGUGAUGUGAGCACAUUCCUUUGUGUAUAUCCUGCAAGAGUUCUAGGCCUUCUUCCCUUGUGAUGCAUAACAACCUUACGCCGUUGGGACGCUCCCGAUACAGCUCGUCAUCAAUCAACACGUACAUCUUCGUUCGUCGGGCCACACGUCCAGCAUCCUCUUCCUUCGCCGGGAGCCGAACUUCCUUGAGGUAGGCCACUAGGUCAGUCGCCCACGGCGGCGUGCUCCUCUUGGUGAGUGUUUCUUCGCACCCUGGGAUGGCCAUUACGCUCCUUGUUUUACCCCACCCUCCGCUUGGGACCUCGCCGCCACCUCUCCCUCGGGCGACGGGGUCAGCUUUGUGGAGACGGCCGGUUUUCGGCGGGUUUCCAAGACCACCCCUGGCAGGAGCUUCCAGCGUUUUGCAGCAGCCCUCGCGAGCUCAUCCGCUGCCAUGUUCUUGUCCCGGUGGACAUGCUCGAACUGCAAGCCGUCAAAUUCUCUCUCCAUCUUGCGCACUUCCUCGACGUAUGCCGCCAUCUAUGGACAUCCAUAUUCCUUGUUCACUUGGUUGACCACGAGUAGGGAAUCUCCGCGGACAAUCAAGCGCCUAACGCCGAGCUCCUUUGCUGCUCUUAGCCUGACGAGCAAGCCUUCAUAUUCUUAUGUGUUGUUCGUUGAUCUGGGGAAGUCCAGGAGAACCGCGAACUUAAGCUGAUCUCCAGUUGGGGAUUCGACCAACACACCGGCACCCGCGCCCUCAUAGGUGAAGGAGCCGUCAAAGUACAUGACCCAACGCCCACCAUCUUCUACGCCGGGCCAGUUGGUUUCGGGCUCCUCCCCAGUGAUCAUGGAUGUAGUCCACUCGGCCACGAAAUUAGCCAACGCGGCACUCUUGAUGCUUUUCAAAUUUCUGAACUUUAGGUUGAAUUCCGAGAGCUCCAUUCUCCAUUCCGCCACUUGCCCGAUCGCUUCUUGGUUCGUGAGGGCUCGCUCCAGACAGAACCCUGUUACGACGGUGAUGAGAUGCACCUGGAAAUAGUGGCGUAGCUUCCGGGACCCCAAAAGGCUGCCGAGUAGCAGCUUCUGAAUCUGCGGGUACCUCUGCCCCCCGUCUCGUAGCACCGUAUUGACGAAGGUACACAGGACGCUCAGCAAGACGUCGUCGGGUAAGCGGAGCCCCGGGGGGAUCCAUCCCAUCCCCCCGGUUGCCCCACUUGUUCCGCCCCCGAGACGUUACCUCCUCCUAAGCCCUCUCCGGGGGUCAGCGCCCCGGAGGUAACCCCGGAAGUUCCGGUCCUUGGCCGUAACCCCGUAAGUUCCGGUCCUCGGCCGUAACCCCGGAAGUUCCGCAAAUUCCAUUGGGGGGUAACCGAGAGCACCCCGAGGUUCACCCGGAGGUUGGGGCGGAAGUUCCGGUGCCUAGAGAGUUCGGUGCACAGGAAAUGAUUUUCCGAAUUGUCUUUUCUCUCUCUCACUUUGGGUAGGUUUUAUGUGGGUGCAAAUAUGGUAGAUUUGUGUACGUGAAGUUGAUUCACCAUUACCUUCCCAUUUGGACUCGCUCUUUAUAGUACGGAGUUCCUACGGCGACUCAAUAUAAAUAAAAAGCCGCUAAACACCGCUAAGCUUCUUUCCUUUUUUGAGGGCAACGAACCAUCUUGUGCCAUUCGAUAUCAAAUCUGAAACACUCAAGCAAACGGUUAGUCCACGUGUCAUGUUGUCAUUAACACCAAAACACUUAGGGAGGGAAAUGCCCUUUCAGCGUCCACCCUCUUCCUGCCUCGACCCGACAGGUCGGGUUGUCUGGACGCGACGGAGCAGGUCGCCCCAUCACCGGGCAUGGGCGGUGCAGGCCCCGUCUUGUCGCUACACAGUGCAGAUUCCUUGCUUGUUUUACUCUUCUGUCGCCCCAACUACUGAGCCAGAGGCUUUAAAGGGGCUGACAGGUCGCACCACGUGUGGCGCUCAUGCCUUGCAUCCGCCUGCUGAACAACGAGCCCUCACCAGAGCCCCGACGGGGUAGUGCCAGGCCAGCCCCAAGAGGCACUUGGACCCCGACUACCGGGAGUCCGACACAAGCCCGUGGGCCACGGCGUGCCAGGCCCGACACAGAUUAAUCGGGCCGAACAAAGAGCACGCCUGUGUCGUGCGUGGGCUUCAUCCUCCGUUUAGAUUAUUUUUCCCAUACCGGGCCUCCAGCAGAUAGGCUUGGGCCUCUUUUUUCCUUUUAUUUUACUUUUUUGGCAUCUUCUCAUGCUGGGCUAAGCCCAAUUAGCAUUUUUUUUCUUUUUCUUUUUUUAUUGUUAGGCUACGUUUUGUUUUUGUUUUUCUCCUUGCUAGGCUGGAUGGGCCCGGGCUAUUUGACAGGCCUCGUCGGGCUUAAAUGGGUCGGGAUGGUCCGGUGGGGCUUCAGGUUGUGCGUGGGCUGCCAGGGGCAUUUUGGGGCCGGGCUUGUUUUUCUCCUUGCUAGGUGGGACGGGCCCGGGUUUGUUUUUCUCCUUGCUGGGCGGGACGGGCCUGGGCUAUUUGUCAGGACCAGUCGGGCUUAAAUAGGUCGGGACGGUCCGGUGGGGCGUCGGGCUAUGCCUGGGCUGCUAGGGGGCAUUUUGGGGCCGGCCUGGCCCGGCCCGAUGGCCAUCUAUAUCCAUCAACAUCGUCAAUUCUAAGAUUUGCCGGUUUAGUCUCUCAGAGGUGCUCAUAGAGGUACGACGUGCGUUCUGAUGUUUGCGUAUUUGUUGGCGUUUGCGUUUGUACGGUAUUUCUCAAUAAAAAAAAUCACUCUUUAUGGUAACCAAACACUUCGAUGUAUAUAAACUGAAGCAAAUAUGAAAACUGCAGUAGUAGUUGGAUGUAUUGGUGGUGGUGGAGAAAUUUUUGGUUCCUAAUUUGAUGUUCGGUUUUGAUGAUGUGUGGGAGGGGAUAAACAUAUACUCCCUUUGUUCCUUAAAUUAAGACGGUCAAGAAAACAAUAUACGCCAUAACUUAAUGAAUGGAGGGAUGGCCUGUUUAACUCUUUUAUUUUAUAUUCAGAGCCCAUCCCCUCUUUCUCUAGGAAACAGAGAUACCUGAGCUGGCCAUCUAAGUUGACCGAAACAAUAAGAGAAAGUUCACCUGAACUAGAUUCAGGCUGCUGCAGGUAGUGAGGCCUGUCAGGCUAAAGUGGCUAGGCCGGCCCGGGUUGGGCUCAUGUGCCGUGUCUGGGUCCGGGGUUCGCUGCAACGGACUGUCACGGCAUGCCCCAUUGGAUCUUGAUUCGUCCUCAUUUGGGUCCUCCAGGUCUUCAUCGAAAUUUCUAUAGCCCGCUGAGAUGUAUCAAUGUGGGUGAGCCCAAGCUUCUUUCAAAUCGAGAACAUACAUAUGCACUUAUGGAGAAGAUGGGCCGCCAACUCCUAUACUUGCUUGCAUCAUGGACAAUUAGACAUAGCCCACAAUUCGGCCACCUCCACAUUCCAUACGGUCGGGCGUUCAUAGCUUGUCUCGAAUAGCAACCUAGGUGAACAUUUGUGCUUUGGAGGUGUACACACCUUCAAAACAACAACCCAGCACAUCACGACCAUCGAUUUGCCGAAGGUGGUGAAUAUAUUCCCCGAAACAACCCCUCUUUCUCUAUGAAAUAGAGAUAAUGAGCUGGCCACCUAAGUUGAUCAAAACGAUAAGAAAAGUGUAGCUGAACUAGAUUUAGGCUGCUGCUGGUUGUGAGGCCCGCCAGGCUAACGUGGCUAGGCUGCCCGGCUGGGCUCACGUGCCAUGUCUGGGUCUGAGGUUCGCCACACGGGCUGUCACGGCAUGCCCCAUUCUGGCGGGCCCGGGUCAGGCCGUUGGCCAGAUAUAAAAUAUACACUGAAUGUUUUAUCAUUCUAGUAUGGGAAAUGUAUUAUUUUUCGUCCCUCAACUUGACGGAAAGUUCGAUUUUCGUCCCUAAUUUGUUUUUACCCAAAAUUUUGUCCGCCAACUAUCAAAACCGGAAUCUUUCGGUCCCUUUGUCGAACCGAAGCGGUUUCCUGGCUCCGAUGGCCAGUUUCGGUCAUAGAUUUGUAAGAUUUGGGAUUAGGAAUCGGGUGUUUGACAAAAUUGGUUGGUGUUGAAUGUGUGGUUGUUGUUCAAAACUCACAAGCACCAAUUUCAAGAAGAUUUGGCAACCCCCAUGAGUGAAAACCGGACACGUGAACUAGAAAACCGUUUCGGUUUGAGUGGAGGGAGCUUUAACAGUUGGAGGGUGAAAAAGGCAUGAAUUUUUUUAGAAACGAAAAUUAUGAUAAAUUAAAGGACGAAAGAAAUAUUUUUCUCCCUUAGUAAAAAAGAAAUAUCACGCGGGGAGCUUGGGAAGCGUUGGAUGUUCGGUUUUGCGCGUUGGAGUACGGAUGGAACAACCACGGGAGCAUUAGCCAAUGUUGUGUCUGUAAUUCUGUAUGCAUACUUGACGAUGUGACGCAUGCAUGCAGUGGACCAGCCUUUCUGGGCAGUCAGAUGCACUGCAAAGAGCACAGGGCCUGUCUCGCACAUGCGACAACAGUGUAUAGGUCCCAGUGUUGCUCAAGUUUCAGAAAAAAAAAUCUUGGCUCUCUAUCUAGCGGCGCUAUUUUUUUAAAAAUAAUAUAAUUUUUUUAAUCAUUUUCGAAAAUAAUACGCGUUUUUCAGAAUUUACAAAAAUAAUGCGGCCUUGGCCUGGACGAGGCCGAUUGGGCCUAGUCGGCCUGGCCCAAGCCGAUUAGGCCCAGUCGGCCUCGGCCAGGCCGACUGCAUGCCGCCUGCCGAGCGCGCGAGGCAGUCGGCCUGGCCCAGGCCGACUGAAGUCCAUUUGGCUUCGGCCAGGCCGACUGGUCCAGUGGGUUUGGGCCAGGCCGACUGGAUUCGGUCGGUUUGGGCCAGGCCGAUUGAAAGUCAUUAGGCCCAUUUUUCGAUUCGGAUCAUCGUGGUCUUUUGAACUAAAAGACUCGACAACUUGGAUAAAAGUAACACGCCGAAUCCGAUUGGAAGAAAUUAGGCUUCGCCGCUAGUUCGUUGCAUGAUCAACGCAUACACGGCCGAGGCAUUUUUGUCUCGAAUCCAUGCGGUUUUUUGAACUAAAAGACUUGACAACUUGGAUAAAGAGUAACAUACAUUGAUAAUGUGCUGGACAAUUUUUCUGUCGAUUCUUUGCGGUUUCUUUGAACCGAAAGACUUGACAUUUGGAUGAAUUUGGAUAAAUUAACAUACAUCGAUAAUGUCCUGGUUACGGAACCAAAGCAUGACUAAAUUAACAUACAUAGGUAAUACCGCAAUUGGACAUUAUUAAAAAUAGCAAAUACAUUUGAAACACAAGCACUACUGAGUCCACUUAGGCCAUUUUCCACUCGUAUCGCCACGUUCUUCUGCAGCCUUUGCCACGGUGGCCCUUUCUCUUUGCCUCUCCCUUUCUGCCUCACGUGCAUCCUUGCGCUUUCGUUCUUCCUCUUGCAUCUCAAGCGCUUUCUCCCUGUUUUUCCUUAGUGCUUCGUCAAUCCAACGACGUUGUUCCUCCCUAUGCUCUUUCAUCUCUCUCUCUUGCUCCUCUUUCUCCUGGGCUACAGCUUUUUCUGCAUGCUCCUCCGCGUGGAAACGCUGUCAUGCAUUUCGGGACCUUGUUUUGAUCUCUUCCACCGCCCAAUCCGGCAUCUCCGUGUCAAUCCAACGAUACCACAUGCAUAGGGACGGAGGAGACUACAAAAAAGCCUACUGUUACAAAUCUGAUAUGACAUAGAAAACAUGUUUUAGAACACCUAAAUGUGCUUACCGGAGGCUUGUCGUACGGCGAAACCGGGACAGGUGGUUCAUAUGCAUAGUUCGCGCACAUGAAAAACCUCAUGCCCAGCUUAUCUAAAAAAUCUGUCACCUCCUUCACCUUGCAUAGAUUGCCGCACCAACACCUGAGAUGUUCCACCCCCCGAGGCAACAUCGCAUAUUUCAUCCUCGUCGGCCUCUCGCCCUGGUCGGAGCAAGGCAAACUCAUUGGGGGACACUGGAAUAUUGGGAAAAACAGUAGUGGGAAGGAUGCUUGGAUGACUACCGGAGAUGAGAUAUUUAUAGGCUCUCAAACUCAUUCUCCCACCACCGUUUCCCGCCUCCUUUUCGCGCCACCGUUUCCUGCCUGGUUUUCCCGCCACCGUUUUCCCCCGCCUCCUUUUCGCGCCACCGUUUCCCGCCUGGUUUUCCCGCCUCGUUUUCGCGCCACCAUUUCCCGCCUCGUUUUCCCGCCACGUUUUCGCGCCAGCGUUUCCCGUCUAUUUGUAUCUUCUGUAACUAUAAAAGACCGUCCAUGGUAUUGAAGUGUAGUCUCACCAUUUCGUCUGGGAAGAUGUCAUCCGGCUUCCCAGAUGAUCGUAGAUUUUGGUCAGGUAUGUCCCGAGAGCUAUUGUGGUUAGCCGGUGAUUUCAAGGUAGACAAUAGGAUAGUUCCAUGGGACGAACUCAUUAGUAGUGACAUCCUACGAACUGAGCUGGGCCACCAAUUAUAUAGGUGCAAUUUUCCAUUGAGGAAUUGUGCAGAGAUACGGCAAGAACUGCUAAGGUUGCACGAGAGGUGGAAGAAGCACAGUGAAGGUAAGAGUGAGUCAUACCUACAAUGGGCUAGAAAACAUCCAUUGUUAUGGGUUGAAGAGGAGGAAUCCGAUGAAGAUAUCUUCAUGCCAAGAAAAACGGGUAAGAGUUCUUCAUCGUUCAAGGGGAAGAGUACUGCACCGUUGAAGCGAAAGAGCACAUCAUCGUCCAAGGGGAAGAGUACAUCAUCGUCCGAUGAAGAUAUCUUCAUGCCAAGCAAAACGGGUAAGAGUUCUUCAUCGUCCAAGGGGAAGAGUACUGCACCGUCGAAGGGGAAGAGCACAUCAUCGUCUAAGGGCAAGAUCACUUCAUCUUCGUAGGGCUAGAGUUAAGUUAUCUUAUUUUAAGUUGUCAGUUUUAAUUUCAGUCUUUCUAUUGCAUAUGUAUUUCAGUCCUGCCGUUAUUUAUAUGCAAAUGUAACUUGAAUAAGAAUGCGAAAAUUAGUAACAUGUCUCUCUCAUACAUAGGUAGAAAUAUGUCUCAUACAUAGAUAGAAAUAUGUCUCAUACAUAAGACCUACAUGCAAAUAUCAGGCAGGCGUCUGGGACAGCGUUCUGGAGGUGCCUGUGGCGUGGUCCAGCCAUACCUAUGAGGUGGCACUAGUUGCGCGGAGGAAUCACGGACCCAUCCUCACGAUACUGUGUAUCCUAAUGUGUGGGGUCUGGUGGCGGAGUACUGAACAUCCAGCUGUGUUGGACAGAAUAGUCCUCUCCUUGAGCGUUGCUCACUACCCCACGAGGGUUCGGACAACGACGACUGAUGCCCAUAGGCUCCUGCAUGUGGGAAAGUACUUAGCAUUACAAUUGUGUAGUAGUCAUGUUAAUGAACACAAUAGAUAGAAAUAUACAUACCCUGUGGCUGGGUCUGUGGACGAAACUCGAAGUUCAUCCUGGGACUCUGCAGGUGCCAAUAGUCGAAAGAAGACUGCGGCUGGUGCCACGACGAACCUCCGGCCUGCUCAGGAGGAGGUGGCCUGGGCGUCGACUGCUCUGGUAGACGUGGACGCGGGUGGUGUCGGGGGUGCGGUGCUUCCUGCUGACGUGGCCGCUGCUGGUGCGUGGAGUGACGAGGGGGCCUACGGACGCCUGGUGGUGAACGACGUCCGAAGUGCGGGUGCACGUGAUAGCAGGGUAAACAGAGCGUAGCUUCUCCUCCAUUCAUCCAAGCCAGGACUGGUGCGGCUCCCGUGGUAGUAGAAGUGGACCGGUCGAAAGCGAACGUCCAUACGCAGCGAACUCGGCCUGUAAAUCCUGUGUCAACUGAGCUUGCAAUUGGCACGAAGAGUAUUACAUAUAUAUGGCAAAGUACGUAACAAAUACAUGCAUUAUGUUAAGAGAAGAUACUUACCGCGUGCUGUCUAGAGCCUGAAGUAGACUGGCGGGUACAUAUCUUGCAAACUUGGCUCGGCUAUCUCCUGGGGGUGAGAGUGCUGAAUGAUGCUCAAUCGGGUAGCUGUCAUGUACCUCUGCAAAUAUCCGUUGAAUAGAUCGAGAUCAAAAGCCGCCAAUGGCCAAACCCAUGUCGUCGCAGUCUCCCACUCUGUGACGUACGACUGAUCCCUCUGCAGCCACUGAGUCUGGGUCCUGGUACUUCUCUUCCUUGUAAACCUAAGAUCGCAUAGAAUGUUGAACAAUUAAAUUAUGGACAAUUCUGGAUGACAAUCAUAAAUUGGAGAACUGCACAUACCUGUGGACGAUCUGUGGAAGUGGAUCCUCCGUCGGUGGAGGAAUGGCCAACUAGCGUGCCCCAAACUGCCUCAUGACCCAUUGCUGGGCCAUCUCCUCCACGCAGACGUCGAAGAUGAUCUUUGAUUUUGUCAUCCAGUAAGCGUAAUCUCUCGUGCAAACCGUGGACAUCCCGCCAGGGUAUCUAUCUUCGAUGGCGUCCUGUGUGUACGGCUCUCAGACAACCACCUCAGAGUGCAACACGUCGAACUGCUCGUUGAAUGAUGGGUAGCAAUUCCUGACCUGAUCGUGUGCAAAGCGUCUCUGUAAAAAAAAGAAGUUAGCUUCAUUCAUGGUUUAUGUAAACUAAUGUAUGAAUUUCACAUUCGACAUACCUUGCUACGUGUCCAAAUUGUCGCGAAAGUAGGCAGGUCGAUGUGUUCUAAGUCAAACAACUCCUGCUCAGGGUUAGGGUAAUCACCCAUAAUGUCUGGUCGGCCGAUAGAAAACCUCUCCCAUGACCAGAGCUGAAACAAUAAAGGACAUCCAAGCAGGGCUGACUUGGGCGACGCAAGCUGGCAAGCGUUGCACAUACCUCGGUACGUAGCCGCUAAGACGGCCGAACCCCAACUCCUCUAUGUGAUGUCAUCACCACAAGUUGCAUUCGCGAUCUCCACUGCAAUAGGGAUGUAGCGUGCGCUAAUGGUGGUGACGUGGUUCUCGGUGAACAUCACCUUCUCGAGAAGCCACAUUAUAUAUGCCUCAAGGCUCCGAGUGAUCUGAGGCUCAGUCAUUUGGGUCUCUGGAUACCCAAACUUCUGAAUCUGCAUGCAACAAAAACCAAGUGGUAGUAAACCCAUGCAAGUAUAUGAGGUAUGCUCUUAGAUAUAAUAACUUAAAACACAUCGAUCUAACCUGGUAAUUGAGCAACCAAUCUAGCUUAGGUCCGUGAGCCUCCGAGGUGAGUGGCCCAGCUCCGGCAAGAAUACCUUGAAAACGUAGGGCACAAAUUAACACAUAGUUCCACAUAGAGUACAAAUUAAAACACAGGGCAUAAAUUAACACAUACCUUGAAAGCGUAGUGCCAUACACUCCUGCCAAUCAGCUGGUGCCUACAACAGUCCUAUGGGAUCACCCACCAAUGGUAGUCCCAGCAGCAUCGACACAUCCUGGAGAGUAGGAGCCAUCUCUCCCCAGCGAAACGUGUGUGUCUUGGGCCUCCAUCUGUCCACUAAGCAGCUCAGCAGCGAGUGGUCAAUUUGUAGCUGUGUAGAGUUGAAGUCUCGUCGCUCGCCCUCUACCAUUUCCGCACGAGUUGCCUCAGCAAGUUGUGCGAAAGGUAAAAGACUAGCCCACUUCAAACUGCAUAAAUAAAAUGGACAUGCAAUGGAUGAAUAAAUAAAAUGGACAUGCAAGGGAUGAAUAAAUAAAAUGGACAUGCAAGGGAUGAUUGAAUAAAAUGUACAUGUAAGGGAUGAAUAAAUAAAAUGGACAUGCAAGGGAUGAUUGAAUAAAUACCGCUGAAUCCAGGCAGGGUGUAUCAUCCAAUUUUUCUUAGGAGUGCGCGUGACAAGGGGCUCGACACUCAUAGGAUGCGCCACCAAUCGAGCAGCCCGAUGCUUACUCUCAAUCUCUUGAGAUAGCAAUGAUACUCUCUCCAUUUUGUACCUACAACAUUUAUAAACAUAGUUAGACAUACAAAUUAAAGUUCAGCAUAGUUAAACCGAGAGUACAUAUUAAAACAUAGUUGAACAAAGCGUAAAAAUUAACACACAGUUCCACACAGAGUACAAAUUAAAACAUAGGGCACAAAUUAACACUUAGUUUCACAGAGUACAAAAUAAAACUUAGUUCCACAUAGAGUACAAAUUAAAACUUAGUUUCACAGAGUACAAAUUAAAACUUAGUUUCACAUAUAGUACAAAUUAAAACAUAGGGUACAAAUUAACACAUAGUUUCACAUAUAGUACAAAUUAAAACAUAGGGUACAAAUUAACACAUAGUUUCACAUAUGCAUGAUAAGCCUAGUUUCUUCCUCUCCCUCGUCGUCCACGUCUCCCUCUUCCACGGGCAGUAGCUCCACCAGUAUCGAAAGUUGGACAAUAAGUGUCCCUGUGGCCAAAAUGGUUGCAUAGAAAACAUUGUCGUGACGGUCCUCCGGCUUCAGAUUCAUCCAUAUCAUUUCAGAUGCGCCUGGACGGGCGUCUGCAUGUGCCUGUCCGCAGUAGCCCGGGGUCAGGGAUGUACCGCCUUUCACCAGGGGUUACCUUGUUGAAAUUGCCCAUUGCACGAAACCCUGGCAUCUCACCCGUCCAUGUGCUAAGCACAGACUCUUUCAGGUAAUAGGGAGACACAAAUGAGAUUGCGUCCAUCCCUAGCUGCCCGCAAGCAGCAAGUAUAUGUGAGCAAGGAAGGUGAAGCAACUUUGGUUUGUUGCAGGUGCACUCACACGUUGGGCACACUUCAGUUCCAAUCUUCACCUCCUGUGUCCUCAAUUCAUUUCCAACGCCAAACUUGUCAGUUGGCAAGCGCACCUCAAACUUGUGUUCUUGAUUACCGAUGGCGACGACAGUAUGAGACCUAGCUUUUUCCAUCUUCUCAUCCAUGUACUUCAUAAUCUUUUCACAGUACGGUGUAUUUGGGUUGUUCAUGAUAUGCAUUUCAGCUCUCUGGCAUCUUUCUCUGAAAUACUUCACCGUGCCAUGGAAAAUACCCUCGACGAUGGCUGUAAGUGGUAAAGCUCUAUUUCCCCUCAAGACAGAGUUGUAUGUGUCUGCCAGGUUAGUAGUCAUGAUGCCGUACCUAGCGCCAUGUGUGUCGUGCAGCAAAGACCACCGCUCCAGAGUCUCGUGCUCUAUCCACUGCUGAAAGUUUUUAAUCAGGCUCCCAACCCUUCUCCUAGUGCCGGGUGGGUCAAAUCCUGGCAAGUCACAAAGCCCAACAGGUUCUUCCUCAGAUGGUCAUGUUCCAAUUGAUGUCUGUGCAGCCACUGCUGCUACAUGUGCUGCUACCGCCGCGUUUCGUGCCGCUGUCCUCUCCCUAACAUGUUUCUUCAUGAACUCAUCAAGAUAACCACGUAUCCUAGUGUACUUCCAUUGUUGGUUCUGUUUGCAGAGUUUCUUGAAUAGAUUCAUAAGUGACUUGUUCCUGAACUGCGAGAAGAAGUUGGCCCCCAAAUGCCGCAUGCACCAACGACUCUGCAUGUCCUGCCAUGGAGUCUGUUCAUCAGGCCCAGGGUUUGUCAGUGUCCUUAUCGCACUGAGUAUGCCUGCAUGUCUGUCAUGAAGGAUGCACACAUUCGGCUUAUCAUGCACAACUGCUCUCUUGAGCUGCCUGAAAAACCAUAACCAACUUUCAGUGUUCUCACCCUCCACGAAAGCAAAUGCGAGCGGAACGAUUUGAUUGUUGCCGUCAUGCCCAUCAUUCACGGUCAUAGCUGAAGAGAAGUGCUGAUUCCAUGAUGCAGGAAUCGGCACCUCCUCUUCGUCCGACUCAUGAGACUCAUCGUCAUAAGAACUACGACCAUCUGUAUUUUCAUCCUCCAUCUCGUUCUGCAAGUGACCAUCUUCUUCGUCCGCAUCUGCCUCGCCAGUGUACUCAUCCUCUCCUACUGCCUCGGAGCUCUGGCCUGAUUCAUAACCACCACCUCCAGCAUUUGACACAGAGUUUGCAUUGGACAAGUCAUAACUUGAUUCACCCUCGCCUUCAGCUGGAUUGGUCUCAUGAGCGACAACCUGGAUUAAGGCGACAGGUGUAGUUCCCCUUUUCUUACAACUUUCUAACCAGCGCACCCACUUUGAUGUCCGGUCUAUCGGCCUCAAAACCCAGAAAAUAUUUGAACUUGACUUGGUCCACAAUGCUUGCACACGGACGGUGUAUGUUUCAGGAUUGACCGCUAAACAUCCUACCAACCAUUCCUACAACUAACUAUACGCCCAUGUUUGAGGGGCCUUUAGAUCCAACUCCACAUACUUAAACUGACUCAGAUCAGCUCCGUGCUCGAUUGUUAAGACAGUACCGGACCGUAGUAAAAAACAAACUUCACUACACCGGACAUCUCGGAUGCCUAAAAAAAUGUUUAGACGCGUCAAAUACUAAGCAGUACGGCAUAUAAAAAAUAUUAUGACGCGUCAAAUACUAGGCAGUACGGCAUAUAAAAAAUAUUAUGACGCGCCAAAUACUAACCUGUACGGCAUAUAAAAAAUAUUAUGACGCGUCAAAUACUAACAUGUACGGCAUAUAAAAAAUAGGCAGUACGGCAUAUAAAAAAUAUUAUGACGCGUCAAAUACUAGGCAGUACGGCAUAUUAAAAAUAUUAUGACUCAUCAAAUACUAAGCAGUACGACAUAUUAAAAAUAUUAUGACGCGUCAAAUACUAAGCAGUACGGCAUAUUAAAAGUAUUAUGAAACGUCAAAUACUAAGCAGUACGGCAUAUUAAAAAUAUUAAUAUGCGUCAAAUACUAAGCAGUACGGCAUAUUAAAAAUAUUAUGACACGUCAAAUACUAAGCAGUGCGGCAUAUUAAAAAUAUUAUGACGCGCCAAAUACUAAGCAGUACGGCAUAUUAAAAAUAUUAAUAAGCGUCAAAUACUAACCAGUACGGCAUAUUAAAAAUAUUAAUACGCGUCAAAUACUAACCAGUACGGCAUAUUAAAAAUAUUAAUACGCGUCAAAUACUAAACAGUACGGCAUAUUAAAAAUAUUAAUACGCGUCAAAUAGUAAACAGUACGGCACAAAUAAAAUCUAGCCUAAUCAAAACAUAUUACUACCGGCCAAACUAUUUGGACACGUCAAAUACUAAGCAGUACGACAGAUUUAAAAUAUUAAUAGGUGUCAAAUACUAAACAAUACGGCAUAAAAAAAAAUCUCAUCUAUCAAAACAUAUUACUACCGGCCAUAAUAUUUAGACGCAUCAAAUACUAAGCAGUACGACAUUAACCGUUGUCCAAAAUAAUGAGCACUACCAAACGCUAAAACAUACUUCUGGCAUCACCACCAUUGCUCCAAUCAAAACAUAUACAUUGAAGCAGUACACACGUAUCCUCAUAAACAUCAUGUGUCUAAGCAGUACACACGUAUCCUCAUAAACAUAUACAUUAUAGGAUAAAUACGUGAGAGAUUAGGAUUUACCCUUGAAUCGUGUGAACCCAACCUCGAGCAGCCUCACGGUCACCAGAUGAGCACCACCACCUCCAAACUCCUCCAAACCACCAUCAUUGCUCCAACUUUGCACCACAAAAUUAGCUCCACAUGGCCAAUGAAAACAGUAGAUCGAGGUGUCUUUGGGUGCCAACUAGGUAGGGGAUGCGAUUUUGUGGGUUAAAUGGGAUCAAAAUGCACUAAUUUGGGCUAGAAAAUGGGGGCAUUUGAGGAGGAAAUGAAGAACAUAGAAGAGAAGGAGCUAGCUGCUGUGAGAACGAGCAGAGGAGGAAGAAGCUGGGCUGCUCGGGCACGCACGGGAGGGAUGGGAAGGGAAAGUGAAAAAGGAAAAAGGGAAAAGAUUCCAGCCCGGAACCCACCAGGCUGUUUUCAGCCACGGCGAGGCCGACUGGCCAGUCGGCCUGGGCGAAGCCGACUGGGCUUCAGUCGGCCUGGGCCAGGCCGACUGGCUCGUGGGGCCCCCGCGCGCACGACAGGCGGCCUGGCCGAGGCCGACUGGGCCUAAUCGGCGUGGGCCAGGCCGACUGGGCCCAUUCGGCCUCGCCCAGGCCGAGGCCGUAUUAUUUUUGAUAUUUUUGAAAAACACGUAUUAUUUUUAAAAAUGAUUAAAAAAAUCGUAUUAUAUAAAAAAAAUUAGCUCUCGCGUGUGGCCUUUACCGCUGUUCUUGUUAGAAUUAAAUGUACGGAAAAAUAUUGAUAUAACUUACUCCCUCCGUUCCAUAAUUCCUGUCGAAAAUGCGGUGGAACAGAGGGAGUACUAAAUAACUGUAAUAAGAUGCGGUGGCUAUUUCUUAGACUCGUUUUAGAUAAAGAUAUUAAGUAUGCCCGAUUACUAGUCAAUUAUAGUACUCCCUCCGAUCGGUAUUACUUGUUUCAAAUUUGCCUAAAUAUGAUGUAUCUUUGUGUAAAAAGCGUCUAGAUAUAUGUAAUAUUUCGACAAGUAAUUCCGACCGGAGGGAGUACUGUAAUAUUAAAAUAUGUUUUUUUGACACAAAAUAUUCAAAUAUGUGAUGAAUAAUUAAAAUUAUUUGGGGAUCAUCGACGGCUGAAUAAUCCCCGGCCAGAAAAUUCUAGGAAACUUCUCUCGCGUGUAAACACUAUUCCCAUUCUUUGGACGCUGCAUGAUUGCGCGGUUGAGAAGUCUCGCUUGACGGCUAGCCCAGGGCAUUUCCAUGUGAUGUUGAUAGGAGUGACUAGUGAGUCAAGGGUCGUUGACGGAGUGCAUCCAAUGGAACCUGAGACUGAACGACAUGAGUAAACCCGCUGUGCGUCGCAUUCAUUGUGACAAAAAAUACUCCAGGAACAUGUGCGCAAUGGCCAUGGCUAUCCUCCUCCUCCUUCUCCUUCUCCUGCCUCUCGCCGCUGCCCAGUGGCAAUCCUGCGACGGAAUCAGCAACUACACAGCAAGGAGCACGUACGAAACCAACCUGAGGCUCCUGUCGUCCGCCCUCCCAAAGAAAGCCGCGUCUAACAGCACUCUCUUCGCCACCGGCACCGCCGGCGAUGUUCCCGACACCGUCUACGCCCUUGCGCUCUGCCGCGGGGACACCAACGCUUCCGCCUGCGAGGACUGCGUGGCCACCGCCUUCAAGGACGGGCAGAGGCUCUGUCCGUACGAUAAGGGUGCCACCUUGUACUACGAUCCCUGCAUGCUUAGCUUCUCCGACCAGAAUUUUCUCGCCACCAACGACAAUAGCGGUGUGCUUCUCCUCAUGAACACCCAGAACUUCACGAUGAGCGCCGAUUCGGCCAGGCUCUUGUUGUUCAAUCUUUUGAACAGCACGACCCAAGCAGCCGUAAACAGCCCGAGGAGGUUCACGACUUCGCGCUUAGACGUCGGCUACAACUUCCCGACGCUGUUCUGUCUCAUGCAGUGCACGCCCGACCUGACAGCCGCCGAGUGCGCGGCCUGUUUCCAGGAUUUCCCACAGAUCACUCUCCAGUACCUCGACGGAAGUCAAGGUGGUCGAAUUCUCGGGAGGCGUUGUAGCAUGAGAUACGAGAUAUACCGGUUCUUUCAAGGGGACCCCCUGCCUCUUACCAUCGUGGCCUCCGCAGUUCCGGCGACCAACAACACUGCGCCAGGGACGCCAGUUGCCGUGUAUCCACAGCCGCAGGCGGAGCCUAAGACACCAGUUGGGGUACCACCACCGGAGGCACAAACGACGGUCCAAGAACAGCAAGGUAUGUGAUAUAUAAUGUAAAAUUCUGAUCCUUCAUGUGACACUUCGUUGAUUCGACUUGGCUGUGUGCAAAUUCCUUGAUUUGGAUAAUACGGAGCGAAUUUUCUGAUAAUUCCUUUUUGGACAUGUCAUACAUCUUCUAGGAAAAAAAGCUUAUGUUUGAGUAAUUCACUUUUGCAAUCUUCACUUAAUUACCUUCCAUCAACAAAAAAAAUCUUCACUUACCAGGAAAAUCGAGUGCAUAGUUUUAGCUUACUUUACUUUAUUUAAUAUAAUAGUUUUCUAGCUUGUUGAAAGUCUUGCGUGUGGUAGGCUGGUAGCAUCUUCAGACUUGCAAAGCAGAGCAGCUGAGCUUAGCAGUAGCAGUCGAAUUAUUGGGACAUCGAAGUAAUGCUUAAUUGCUUAUGAGAUUUUGUACAAAAUUGCAAAUUUACCAUGCGCUGAUACUGUGUUAUUAUGCUUAGGACGGAACUCAAAGCUGUGGGUUAUUGGUAUCGCCGUUCCAUUACUAUUGAUACUGCUCUGCUUUAUCUUUGCCAUUGUAUGGAUAAGAAGACGGAGAAAAGGUAUGUUCUAAUUUAUCACGCGUCACAAUAACGUUCUUCUAAAGAACAACCGCCGACUUUUUUAUCUACUCACCCUUCUUUGGGUAAUCAAAAGGUUUGAUCCCAAAUUAAUCAUGUAUCCAUGUGUGUGCUCGACUUAGGAAAGGCAAACUUGCAGAAUCAAGCUGCGGCGAAUAGAGGGGGGGAAGAUGCACUGGUUUGGAGAUUGGAAGAGAAGAGUUCAGACUUCACCCUCUUUGACUUUUCUGAGAUAUUGGACGCUACGCGCAACUUCUCAGAAGAAAACCGACUUGGGCAAGGUGGUUUUGGCCCUGUCUACAAGGUAAAUAAAAGGUUUAUUUUUGCAGGGGAAAAUCAAAAGGGAUGACUGUAUGAAUCGACAAAUCGUAUUCAAACAAUAAAAAAAUUCAAUCACGUUUCCUUCCAAAAAAUAUAUUCACUCAUGAGUUUCUGAAAUAAAUCUGAGACAUAGAUUAUACAUUAACCAAUACAUUCGUGUUGUGCAUGGCCAAAAGCACAUUAUUACAUAUUUACAAUACCACUAUUUAUAGUCGCCAGUAUAUAUGGAAUUGUGUUGUGAUGUGCCUAGUUCUCUAACCUACGUCGAAAAACAAAUUAUAAAGAUCCAUUAAACUACUUUCUUUAUAGAACUACGAGAAAGUGGGCCGCAUAGGAUGCAUAUAGGUGCGGGGCAUUUUUGAUGUGGCUUCGUUAACGGCAAUCAUGACCGAAUUGUCUUCUUGGGUCGCUACAUCCGUGCCUCAUACUCUCCCCGCAGCUGGCUAUCAGCCUCCACACUUCCACGGUCCACACCAUUGCAAACGCCAGCUUGCCUGAUGAGAGGUACCCAUCUGUCUGAUUUGACCCAAAUUGACAAAUGGGGUACAAAGUGGAUAAAACAAUACUAGCAAUAGUUACACAAUAUACAGUUGGCACUUGAUCAUAAAGAUACACGCAGGUUGCUAAUAUAUCCAGAUUUACUAAUUUAUCUCAACCAAAUGGGAUCAGCAUAAGAAACAUCAAAUGAAGCUGUAAUUGAAAAGAAAAGAAAUACUCCUUCCGAUCCGAAAAGCUUGACGCGACGGCCGGAGGGAGGGAGUGAGUUUUUGUGAAGUGGCUGCGUCAACAAAUUCGGAUCAGAGGGAGUACUGUACUUGAGAAACCAGUUUUAUUUGUUUUCGAAUGUUGAUUGGAAUUCAGAAGUGGAAAUUGAAGUAUAAAGGAGUGAAAGGGAACAUAGUCCAUGCCAUGGAUAUGUAUUGUUGUAUAUGCAAAAAGGUUUUUUUCAAAAUGAAUAUCUGUAAUCCUUUUUCUGCCAAUUCAGUGAAAAUUCAAUAGUGUCUGGAAUAUUGUUUUAUACAUGUUUCCAGGGCCAAUUACCAGGUGGGAUGGAAGUUGCAGUUAAAAGGCUUGCCUCACAUUCGGGACAGGGAUUCACAGAAUUCAAGAAUGAAGUUGAACUUAUAGCAAAACUGCAACACAAUAAUCUGGUCAGACUCUUGGGAUGCUGCAUUCAAGGAGAGGAAAAAAUUCUGGUGUACGAGUAUUUGCUAAAUAAGAGCUUGGACUUCUUUAUAUUUGGUAUUCACAAUGUAGCUCACUACUCAACAUGUCAUUCAUCCAUGCUAUAAAAUUAUGUCUAAUCUGUUGUUACCAUGAGUAAUUUGCAGAUGGGAACAGAACAACUUUAGUUGAUUGGAACAAACGCCGUUCGAUAGUCGAAGGGAUAGCACAAGGUCUUCUGUAUCUGCACAAGCACUCUCGUCUGCGCAUAAUACAUAGGGACCUUAAGGCCAGCAACAUUCUGUUGGACCAGGACAUGAAUCCUAAAAUUUCUGAUUUUGGGCUAGCAAAAAUUUUCAGCUCAAAUGAAAGUCAAGGAAGCACAAACAGGGUGGUGGGAACAUAGUAAGCAUAUCCCCUUAAUUUAUAGUACAGUUAAUGCCUAAAACACCAGUAAUUGUCUGAUCACUUGAACUGAAAAUGUUAUUUAAUAUUUUACUUGUGGUUCUGAAUCAUUUCAGCGGUUAUAUGUCUCCAGAGUAUGCCUCUGAAGGUAUUUACUCGAUCAAAUCUGACGUGUUCAGCUUUGGUGUUUUACUUCUUGAGAUUCUUAGCGGAAAAAGGAAUUCUGGUUUCCACCAGUAUGGGGAGUAUCUUAACCUCCUCGGAUACGUGAGUAUCUUCUGAACUCGUACACACAACCGUAUGUUUAUCCUGUAGAAAUUCUUGUCAUGUAUAUCAUGAAGAAUGUUUCUCCAGUCAUGGCAGCUCUGGAUAGAAGGAAGUUGGCUUGAGCUGGUAGAAGCAGACAUUGCUGGGGAGAUCCAUACAACAGAGGCUAGGAGGUAUAUUAACAUUGCACUGAUGUGCGUCCAGGAGAAUGCAGAUGAUCGACCUACAAUGUCAGAUGUUGUUGCAAUGUUAAACAGUGAGAGUGUUGUUCUUCCGGAGCCUAAUCAUCCAGCAUACUUCAACCUAAGAGUAUCUAAGGUACACGAAUCGGCCAGUGUUGUUGAUCCAUGUAGUAUCAACGACGUUACGAUCACUG